CCACAGGUUGAGAACUACUGGCCUAGAUAUUCCUUGAGAUAAUGCUUCUGUAUGUAUUUCUUGUUCCUCAUAAUUUUUCCACUUUCUUAGGGGUCUCACACAACUAUUAAACAUGAAUGCAGAAGGACUACAGUCAAGAUCCAGGGACCAAAUAAUGACAAUAGCACAGUAAGAUAUCAUCUACAGAGUUCUAUACCGGUUCCUUAUCUUGGGUUUUCAACUGUGGCAGAUUUCACUACAUUGGUGAAAGAUCCCUUUAUCAAAACUGAGAAAGCAAAGGGGAGAAGGCAAUAUUUGACAUGACUUUAUGCUGAGAGCUUGAAGGAGAAUCACACACACCUAUUCCUGAGCCCAACCCAGGAGGCUGACAAUGACAAGCUUAUUAAAGAAUCUGAGAUGACAGCAAUCAGUUGUUGAUGGAUGAGAGAAAAACUGGAUGAACCUCAUCUCCCCAACAGAUCAGGACAUUUUGUCUGAAGACUGCAUGCAAGACUGAAGCUUCCAUUUGUGGUUUAGCAGAGAGAGUGAUUGAAAAAAGUUCUAUUGAGUCUUUCCUUCCACAGACACACAGGGAACCUAGAAUAGGCUUGUGCACGGAUUUGGUUUGGUCGGUUCCCUUCGUCCAAUCCAGCUUGUUCAGCUUGUUCAGAUGGCCAUAAUGGUAAGCACUCAGCUGACAUGUUUUUUGUCCAGAACAGGGCCAUGUGGCAGCCAAUCACAGCUCCUCCUCCCCUAUUUAGCACCACGUGGCUCAUAGAGUGGUUGCCGUGUGCUGCUCGCACUGGGUUUCCCUGUGAGCCCUGCCUGUUGGGCCAAUCAGAAUAGAAGAAUGAUGUGACAUGUUUUACACACUGCUUCUUUAAUCCAGUUGCUCAAACACAGACUUCCUUGAAUGGAAGAAAGAAAGGGGUCCCAAGAAGGAUGCUUCUUUAACUCCAUUCUUCAAACCCAGACUCCCUUGAAUGGAAGAUAGGAAAGGUUACCAGGAGGAGUGCUGCCUUAACCCCGUUGCUCAAACCCAGCCUCCCUUGAAAGGAACAAAGGAAAGGAUGCCAGAAAACAGGAGGUUGUAAGUUCUCCAUUCCCACCAAUGGGCAGCAUCUUCCCAAAUCUUUCGACUGCCUAGCUGAAAACAGAUAUUUCCAUUCGGGAAGCUCCCAAAAACGGAUCUGGGUUCCCAUCAAAAUUCAGAUACCAAAAACAGAUCAGCCUCAAGCCGAAUUGCACAAGCCUAUUCUGGAAUAAUGUAUAUGUAUGUGUAUGAAUUGUGCUAUUGUGUCUCUCUACAAUUCUUUCAGAAGCCUAAUUUCUCCUUCAUUCUGACAUCAACUGCUAAUUUAGCACAAAGGCUCUAUUGCAAACAUGUGGAUGUUUGUUAUUUGAUAGAAUUUUAGUCUUACAUUCCAUGCAUAAGAAAAUGGACAAAGAUCAAGUAAGGGAAGGUGAAUGGAAAAAGAAAAUACAAGAGUGCAAGUAAAAGAGAAAAAUUAGAUUGAACAACAAUGCCCCAUGGAGGAAAAGGAGGUUGCAGGAAUUAAAUGGAAACGAUAACAGUACACCGGGGGCACAGCAUAACAUUGUAUUCAGCUCUGGUUCAAGACAUUAUUCUUCCUGAGGCAGGAGGAGUCACAGCAGCUACCAGUUGUUGGACCUCCCCUAUUUUGUCCAGAUUAAUCAUCAUACUAUACCAAAGUUAAAAUACAACUCAGAUAAAUUGUAUGUGUGUGAGAGAACAAGGUAUCAUCACCUGUAAAUAGUUCUUUUGGGUGUAGUAGGGAUGUAAUGCAGUUGUAUUUCAAAAAUAAUAUAAGAGAUAACAAAAAGUUUCCUUUAUUAUUUUUGUACAGUUAAAGUCUGCACACCAGCUGCACUUGUACCUUGAAAUGUCAGAUCUGGCCAUGGUGACCCAUGCAUCAGUAUUGCUCUCCACAUGGGGCUGCCUUUAAAAAGUGCUCUAAAGCUUCAACUGGGCCAAAGAGCUGUAGCAGAUUACUAACUGGGGCUGGCUAUAGGAAGUUUGCAAUUCUCUCAGUCAGGAGCGGCCCUAGGUUUUUUUAGUAUGUAAGCAAACCUAGGGCCGCCCCCCCCCCCCCAACUUACUGGCGGUGGAGACCAUUGGGUCACUCGCCGUGGAACAAGGA
Molecule: long non-coding RNA, 2141 nt
Organism: Anolis carolinensis (green anole)
Lineage: Eukaryota; Metazoa; Chordata; Lepidosauria; Squamata; Anolidae
Exons: 3
Source: RefSeq, a predicted model, not a curated record